Molecule: ribosomal RNA, 776 nt
Filed under: uncultured Neocallimastigales
Lineage: Eukaryota; Fungi; Neocallimastigomycota; Neocallimastigomycetes; Neocallimastigales
Description: partial large subunit ribosomal RNA
Rfam family: Eukaryotic large subunit ribosomal RNA
Source: RNAcentral
AGAGAGAGACAUGCGCGCAUAUCAAUAAGCGGAGGAAAAGAAACUAACAAGGAUUCCCUUAGUAACGGCGAGUGAAGCGGGAAGAGCUCAAAUUUGAAAUCUUCAAGGUUUUACCUUGACGAAUUGUAGUUUAAAGAAGUGUUUUCUGCUGAAGUUUUGGUAAAAGUUCUUUGGAAUAGGACAUCAUAGAGGGUGAGAAUCCCGUAUUUGACCAUUAUUUUCAGCUUUGUGAUACACUUUCAAAGAGUCGGAUUGUUUGGGAAUGCAGUCCAAAAUGGGUGGUAAAUUUCAUCUAAAGCUAAAUAUUGGCGGAGAGACCGAUAGCGAACAAGUACCGUGAGGGAAAGAUGAAAAGAACUUUGAAAAGAGAGUUAAACAGUACGUGAAAUUGUCAAAAGGGAAGCGUUUGACACCAGUGUUGUUUUCUCGAAAAUCAAUUAAAAAUGGCUCGAUUUUGUAUUGCUGAGACCUUAAAAGCUCACUGUACAUUUUUCGUGUCUUUUUUAAUGCACUUUUCGUUUAACAAGUCAACAUCAGUUUCUUUUGUUGUAAAAGGGUCAUUGGAAGGUGGCUUUCUUUUCGGAGAAAGUGUUUAUAGCCUUUGGCCUCUGCAAUCGGAAGAGACUGAGGUCUGCAGCGUAGACUCUUCGGGGUUAGAUACAUUUGUGCUAAGUUAUAGCUUUUUAUAGACAACUUAGUUGACUAUAAUUAGUCUUGUAGCUUACUCGCUUAUGCUAUUUUACCUACGCUUAGGAUGUUGAAGAUGUAGCACAUCA